AGGAGUGCCCUUCGGGAACGUGUAAGACGAGGUGGUGCAUGGUUGUCGUCAGCUCGUGUCGUGAGAUGUUGGGUUAAGUCCCGCAACGAGCGCAACCCCUAUGUUUAGUUGCUAGCGAGUAAAGUCGAGCACUCUAGACAGACUGCCGGUGAUAAACCGGAGGAAGGUGGGGAUGACGUCAAAUCAUCAUGCCCCUUAUGUUCUGGGCUACACACGUGCUACAAUGGCCGGUACAAACGGAAGCGAAGCCGCGAGGUGAAGCAAAUCUGAUAAAACCGGUCUCAGUUCGGAUUGCAGGCUGCAACUCGCCUGCAUGAAGUCGGAAUCGCUAGUAAUCGCAGGUCAGCAUACUGCGGUGAAUACGUUCCCGGGCCUU
RNAcentral lists this ribosomal RNA (376 nucleotides) under uncultured Desulfosporosinus sp. RNAcentral describes it as "bacterial SSU rRNA". It matches the Rfam family "Bacterial small subunit ribosomal RNA", at positions 1007 to 1382 of the family's 1533-position model. The record is from RNAcentral. Lineage: Bacteria; Bacillati; Bacillota; Clostridia; Eubacteriales; Desulfitobacteriaceae.